Molecule: unclassified non-coding RNA, 255 nt
Filed under: Hevea brasiliensis (rubber tree)
Lineage: Eukaryota; Viridiplantae; Streptophyta; Magnoliopsida; Malpighiales; Euphorbiaceae
Source: RNAcentral
CGCAAACUUCAUGGUCCUGCAAUAUAGUCCCUAGUCUAGCUAAUAUAAAGUAAUUUGCACACAUUGUAUUAGUUGUACAACAGCUGUUAUUUGGAUUCCUGAUUGUGUAAAAUAACUUAAUAGCUUAGGAUUCCUUAAUUACAAGCUUUGUUGAAGAGAAAACUGCAAGAGUAAUUAGACCAGGUUUUGGCCAUAGGAACAUACCCUCAUCAUCACUAUUUGAUGAAUAAUUAUUAUAUGGUUUUGGCCAACCAG